Molecule: ribosomal RNA, 253 nt
Filed under: uncultured bacterium
Lineage: Bacteria
Description: partial 16S ribosomal RNA
Rfam family: Bacterial small subunit ribosomal RNA
Source: RNAcentral
UACAGAGGUGGCAAGCGUUGUUCGGAAUUACUGGGCGUAAAGGGCGCGUAGGCGGCCGCCUAAGUCAGACGUGAAAUCCCCCGGCUCAACCUGGGAACUGCGUCUGAUACUGGGUGGCUUGAAUGCGGGAGAGGGAUGUGGAAUUCCAGGUGUAGCGGUGAAAUGCGUAGAUAUCUGGAGGAACACCGGUGGCGAAGGCGGCAUCCUGGACCGACAUUGACGCUGAGGCGCGAAAGCUAGGGGAGCAAACGGG